ACAAAACCUAGCGCCGUUGCUCUUUCUCUCCGACAAGGCGAUUUUCGGCACGAUUUUCGGCACAUUUCCAGCGGUCUUCAAGUAGUUUCCAUCACCGUCCUGUCGUCGCUGCAACAUCUUCCCUCUGACAUGAUCUGGUUGGUUUCACGGCGAGCAGUGCUUCUGGUCUCAGAUGUGGGAGAUGUUGAAAGUAUCCACCCCGAAGACAACUCAUCACAAUGAUCUUGUUAGCUUCUCAGCUCUUGGCAUGGCUCGGUCUUGACGUUUAAGAGAGAUUCUCCACUGGUUGUAGACAUGACAACAUCAAUCCUGAAACUCUGAGACGAGAAAAUUGCAAGACGGGUGGAAGCUUUGUAUCCGAGUAUGCAGACCAUGUAUAUAUACUUCUCAAAUGCAGCACAUGAAGGAUAUUGCUGGUACUUUGGCGGCAGAAGAUGCUGGCCAAGUGGCUAAGCUUCGAUCAGUUCUGGAGUCCGUUGACCACAAAAAAAGAAAGGUACAUCAUCUCUCUUGUAAAUAAAUGAUAAAGUUCUGAGGUUACUUUGAUUGUUUUUGUAUAGGUGUUCUUAUGCUCAUGAAUUUAGUCUACUCUGUUUAUCAGAUUUUACAACAAAUGAGAGGUGAUGCACACUUGCUUAACUUGGAAGAAGGCAGUCCUCCUAUUCAACCCAAGUUCUUCAGCCCCAUUCAUCAUAAAAUGUGGAGGUAACACCAACUCAGAGCUAGUGAUCAAGGCUGAUGCACGCGUUCAAGAGCCCAAAGGGAGGUGAACUUGAAAGAGUUAUCCCAAGAGCUUCUGUUUUAGUAAAGCAUGAGCUACUCAAAGCUCUACAAUUUGGCGCAUUGUGAUCUUAUAUAUUAUUUUCGGCCACUGGCCAAAUUUGGCGCAUUUAUGCUACCUUUGGGGUCCAUAUCCAUUGUCUGUAUAUAACUUCACUUUGUAUAUUGCUAUCAUUCAUAGAUCAAUAAUUGUUUACUUUCACAGCCAGUUUUUGAAUUGCUUCUCAAGUGUUAGAUGAUAACAAAAUCUAGUUGCAGUAAUAGUGUGAUUAUAAAAUGGAUGCCACCAUUUAAACACACGUUAUACAUAAGAUGUGAAUCCAUUGUGUUUAGCAGUAAGGGUCUAAGACUUAAGUUCAUGAAACCACCACAAAGAGUUUUUCACCAUUGAUUCUUUGCAAAAGAAAAAUUAAAGAAAUAGAUUGUAGUAUACACUUACUAAUUAACAACAUAUCAAAACCAAAAUUUCAUGUUUGAUAAAAUUAUAAAAGUAGACUUACAAAAACGUCUACACUUAUUAGCUAACUACAUAGUCAAAUAAAAAAAUUGAUAGUUUCAUAAUUAUAAAAGAUUAUCUUUUGAAAAUAGUUCAAAACCAUUAGGAUUAACUAACACACAAUAUCAAACAAUAAAAUCUUAAAAAUACUUAAUGAAUAAUACACAAAUUCACUUUAUAUAGAUUUUUGGACGUAGACUUCAUAUUUCGUCUUACAUGCAUAGACUGUCAUGUAGGUCAACUAUUUGGGUUAGUUUUUGCAAUUGCAAAAUUCACGGGUUAUUAUUUGUAUUUAAAUAAAACUUGUGAUUUUAUAUUUGUAGACUUUAUUUUCAGUCUACAUUUUGAAAAUGUUAGUUUUUACAGUUGACCAGAAUUCACAUAAAAUUUGAAUUUCAAAAGUAGACUUCAUAUAUAGUCUACAUUUUUAAUUUUCUUGGAAUAGGUUAGUUUUUGCAAUUGACCAAGUUUGACUUUCCAUGAGUAAAUUGAAAUUAACGUCUACACAUGUGUAGACUUCACAUAAAGUCUACUCUCAAAUCCGACAGGUUAGUUUUGCAUUUGACCAAAAUAAAAAAGUAGACUUCAUAUGCAGUCUAUGUUUUUUUUUCCGAGAAGAGUAGACUGAAUAUGAAGUCUACAUUUCUUUUUUCUUUCGGUCAAUUUUUUAACAUUUUAGUCAAAUACAAAAAUAACCUAUUCAACGAAGUCAAAGUUUUGGUCAAAUGCAAAACUAACAUUUUGUAGAUUUCCUUAAUAAUCUCCAGAAUAUAGACUGCUAAUGAAGUCUACUUUGAAAAGUCAAAAGUUCAGUCAAAUGCAAAACUAACCUCUUUUAGGUAGACCUCUUAGUAAGUUUACCUAUUUUUUUGUUUUUGUUUUCAAAGGAAAAGAUGUAGACUUCUAAGGAAGUCUUCUUUACAAAAAAAAUUAUUUUGGUCAAUUGCAAAACUAACCUAAGCAUUGACAAGUAGACCGCAUCGUAAGUCUACGCCACUGUGUAGACAUACAAAACAGUCUACAAUCGUGACACAGAUCUGAAAAAUGACGAAAACCAUGUAAACAGUUACCUUUUUCUGGUGCAAAGCACGUUUCCACCCUUUUCCACUAUCCAAGCUCCAAAUAUGAGCAAAAAAUAGCAUCUUUGAUGAUUCACAACUGAAUAAACUCGAAAAUAUGAAAGUUGUGCUUAUGAAAAUGAAAUCUAUGAGAGAUUUUUAGAUGAAAAUGGAGAGAAAAUGUGAUGAAAUGUAGAUUUGUUGGUUUAGAAAGAGAAAAAAGUGGUUAGAAAUUGAGUUCUUGAGCUUUUAUAAGCUCAAAAAUGGUAGUUCAUGGUGGUUGCAAAAUUGAUGAUAAUGACAUUGUUGUAAAUAAGAAGAAAUGUUUAGGGUGUAAUUGGUUUUUGGUCAUUUUCGAAAUAAUUAAAAAAUUAAAUAAUAAUGGCAAUUUUGUAAAUAUUUCAAAAACAUAAGGAUAGUUUGGAAAAUUCAUUGAUGAAUAGUAAUGGCAAAAAAAAAGGGGUUAGUUUUAGGUUUGACUUGAAAAUAUGGGUUGGUUUUGAAAAACUCCCUCUAAAUAGUAACUAUACAGUUUUAAUGUUUUUUUGGGUACAAAUGUUAAAAUAGUUAUGUUUUCUAGUAAAUACGUGAAUAUCUGUAACUUUCAUGAUCUUUGUGGAUUUUUUCACAUUUUAUCUUAUUAUAUAAAGCUUGGUUCUUCAAAGUUGCUAAUUAACAUGAUUGCGAUACAUGACAAUUAUAUAUUUUAAGAUUGUGACAUGUGUUAAUCUAUCUCAUAAUUAAAAAUAUAUAUACAAAUAUAUUAACAAAAAAUUCUUAUUAAAAAGUAAUAAUAAAUAUUAUGUAAUAGUAAUUUUCCUUUUUAAAAUCCUAAUCAAAACAUUAUUGCAAAUGAUUAUUUGAUAAUAAUUUUCUUUCUAAUAUUGUGACAUGUGUUUAAAUAUAUAAUGAUUAAAAAUAUAUAUAAUAAGAUAAUAAAACAAAUUUUGAAAAAAUUACUUUUAAAAAUUAUUUAAUAGUAAAAAAUUU
Long non-coding RNA from Brassica rapa (field mustard), 3324 nucleotides. RefSeq lists it as uncharacterized. Lineage: Eukaryota; Viridiplantae; Streptophyta; Magnoliopsida; Brassicales; Brassicaceae. The record is from RefSeq and is a predicted model, not a curated record.